GGUUUUAGCAUCAGCCUCUUAUCUUGCUUUUGAACCUUGCCCCCUUGACUUCGUUUAGGUUUUCCUCUACUUUUAAAUUCAAAAUUGCCUUUUUAAGUGUCUUGGCAUUCUUAUUCUGGCUAAUUUGCUCUUUACUCCGACAUUCACAUACGCACUACCGACUUUAGGAUCAGAGUACAGACUGAUACUCCAAUACCAGGACAUUGCAACGGUUACAAUGGCCCGACCAACGUCUCUCUUUCCUUCAUCAACGCAGGAAAUGCAACGUGUUUUACGACUGGCUAUAAUUUCUAGGAUUCUAGUGUUGGGUCUUAUUAUCAUUUGCAGGUGCAUAGCCGGCCCCUAUGACACAUCAGCCUCGUUGGAUCCACCUUGCCUAACAAAAUUAAGCAUGCUGGAUCGCUAUGCAAGGAAACAGGAACAAACAGAUCUUGCCCACAAGCUGGGCAAGGCCAUAGAGGCUACAGUUGUGUGGGAUUCAGUCUACUAUGUUAGAAUUGCUCAAUGUGGGUAUGAAUAUGAGCAAACUUAUGCGUUUCUACCUCUUCUUCCCCUCUCCAUGUUGUUUUUAUCCAAAACAGUUUUAGCUCCACUGAUCCCCGUGUUGGGACAGAGGGCCGUAUUGGCUUUGUCUGGGUAUAUUCUCAACAAUAUUGCCUUUGUAUUUGCGGGCCUUUUUUUGUAUAAGCUAACACUACUUGUUUUGAAAGACCCCAAGCUGGCACUUCGUACAGUAGCUCUUUUCUGUUUCAAUCCUGCUUCCAUAUUCUAUUCUUCAAUAUAUUCGGAAAGCUUAUUCUCUCUUCUAUCAUUCGCUGGCAUCUAUUUCCUACUCUCUGGAAUGAAUUGGAAGGCAACACUCUUGUUUGCCAUGUCUAGUGCUGUGAGGUCCAAUGGUGUGAUCAAUGCAGGAUUUAUUCUUUUUCAGGCAAUGCAUCAGGCUUAUGAAGCUUUUUUCCGGCAAAAGCUGGUCUUGUUGGCAUUACAGGUUCUUUUUGUUGCUUGUCUACGAUCAGUGUGUGUCUUUGCUCCAUUCCUGUUUUUUCAAUUAUAUGGAUUCUUAAAUAUUUGUCAUGGCGAGUCAUCGUCUCAAGGAAGCAGACCCUGGUGUACAGCUAAUGUUCCUUAUCUAUAUGGUUUUGUUCAAAGCCAUUACUGGGAGGUUGGCUUCUUGCGCUAUUUCCAGCUUAAGCAAUUACCCAACUUUCUUCUAGCAUCACCAAUGUUGUUGCUAGGGGCUUGUUCAGUUAUUGAAUAUGCAGUGAAAAAUUCCUGGCUUCUUUUCUCUUUAGGAUUUAAAGCUUCUUAUGCAGAGAGGGAAACAGCUUCUAUAUUCUAUUUUGUACAGAGGAGGAAAAAAUUGAAUGAGAUUGCCAUGCGGACAGAAGAGUUUCCUAAUUCAGCAUUUACACUUUCAUCGGCAUCUGAGAAUGUGCACAUUCGAAAGGGAGCAAAAAUGAAUAAACAUACAAAUAUACAGGCUGUCACUGGUGUUGAGCAUUCAAAUGAAAAUUUUAGUAGCUCUCAGAUGGAAAAAGGGUUAUUCUCAUGUUUAACAGUUCCAUUUAUACUACAGCUAGCUUUCAUGAUUUUUAUUGCAUGCUUUGUCAUGCAUGUACAGGUUGCAACACGUUUCUUGUCUGUGAGUCCUCCAAUAUAUUGGUUUGCAUCAUACUUUAUGGAAUCCUCUCAAAUUGGUUUCAAGUUGGGAUACAUUGUAUGGACAGUUUUUUUGAGCUAUUUGUUUGUUGGUUGUUUACUUUUCCCAAACUUUUAUCCUUUCACAUGAGCAGGAGCAAUGUUUCUUUCUUAUUCAGGCUUUUCACAUUUUAUAUAAAUCAUCGUAUGUUACUACUCUUUGAAAUGUUAGCAACGUUCAUGGCUCCUAUCCAAUGCUCUUUCAGUCAGUAUCCUGGAAAGUGGAUACAAUGCAAGUUUUUGUUACACUUCCCUGCUCUUUGAUCGAAAAUCCAGGGUUCUAAAACAACAGGUUAAAGUUUGCUUUUCCAAUUGGUAUUAGCUUGAGGCCUGACCUGCUUGGCAUGACGUACGCCAUACACUUUGAUUUGGUGUGAACGUGCUUCUCGAGGAAACUUGGAGAAACCUAUGAUUUGGUCACCACGAUAGAAAGUUGCUUAGAAUACUCAUUGCCCAAAAGAUGAUCAAGUACCAAUCAUUCAUUUUGAAUUUCAUGGUAAUCUCUCUCAAGGAGAAGGCCUAUGAUGCAUUAUUGGGCCAAGGCUGAUGAUAACUGGAAGAAGAAAAUAUCAUUUAUCAAAAUUAAAAGUUGGAAAUACAUCAUAUUUUUGAAGAAUUGUUUAGUAAAUGAAAAAGUAGCCUCAUUUGAUGGAUAACCAAAUUCAAAAUUUAAUGAAGAAUGCUCAAAAGGCAAAAAUUGAGGUUC
Cryptomeria japonica (Japanese cedar) is the source of this 2404-nucleotide RNA transcript. RefSeq lists it as uncharacterized. Lineage: Eukaryota; Viridiplantae; Streptophyta; Pinopsida; Cupressales; Cupressaceae. The transcript has 9 exons. The record is from RefSeq and is a predicted model, not a curated record.